UAAGGAAUAUUGGACAAUGGUCGGAAGACUGAUCCAGCCAUGCCGCGUGAAGGACGAAGGCGCUCAGCGUUGUAAACUUCUUUUGGAUGGGGAUAAUAAUCCCGAUUUAUCGGGACUUGAAGGUACCAUCAGAAUAAGCACCGGCUAACUCCGUGCCAGCAGCCGCGGUAAUACGGAGGGUGCGAGCGUUAUCCGGAAUCACUGGGUUUAAAGGGUGCGUAGGCGGCGAGGUAAGUCAGUUGUGAAAUUCCCCGGCUCAACCGGCGGGACUGCGAUUGAUACUGCUUUGCUUGAAACAGGUUGAGGUAAGCGGAAUGUGGCAUGUAGCGGUGAAAUGCAUAGAUAUGCCAUAGAACACCGAUUGCGAAGGCAGCUUGCUGGGCCUGAUUUGACGCUGAGGCACGAAAGCGUGGGGAGCAAACAGGAUUAGAUACCCUGGUAGUCCACGCCCUAAACGAUGUUACUUGCUGUUCCUGUCUUGAACGGG
This 487-nucleotide ribosomal RNA is filed under the name uncultured Bacteroidota bacterium. RNAcentral describes it as "bacterial SSU rRNA". It matches the Rfam family "Bacterial small subunit ribosomal RNA", at positions 355 to 841 of the family's 1533-position model. The record is from RNAcentral. Lineage: Bacteria; Pseudomonadati; Bacteroidota.